Molecule: ribosomal RNA, 253 nt
Filed under: uncultured bacterium
Lineage: Bacteria
Description: partial 16S ribosomal RNA
Rfam family: Bacterial small subunit ribosomal RNA
Source: RNAcentral
UACAGAGGGUGCGAGCGUUGUCCGGAAUCACUGGGCGUAAAGGGCGCGUAGGCGGCCCGAUAAGUAGGGGGUGAAAUCUUGCGGCUCAACCGCAAGGCUGCCUCCUAGACUGUCGGGCUCGAGCACGGCAGAGGCUGGUGGAAUUCCCGGUGUAGCGGUGGAAUGCGUAGAGAUCGGGAAGAACAUCGGUGGCGAAGGCGGCCAGCUGGGCCGUUGCUGACGCUGAGGCGCGACAGCGUGGGGAGCAAACAGG